UACGUAGGGCGCAAGCGUUGUCCGGAAUUAUUGGGCGUAAAGAGCUCGUAGGUGGCUUGUCACGUCGGGUGUGAAAGCUUGGGGCUUAACUCCAGGUCUGCAUUCGAUACGGGCUGGCUAGAGGUAGGUAGGGGAGAACGGAAUUCCUGGUGUAGCGGUGAAAUGCGCAGAUAUCAGGAAGAACACCCGUGGCGAAGGCGGCUCUCUGGGACGGUACUGACGCUGAGGCGCGAAAGCUAGGGGAGCAAACGGG
Molecule: ribosomal RNA, 253 nt
Filed under: uncultured bacterium
Lineage: Bacteria
Description: partial 16S ribosomal RNA
Rfam family: Bacterial small subunit ribosomal RNA
Source: RNAcentral